UCAGGAUGAACGCUGGCGGCGUGCUUAACACAUGCAAGUCGAACGGUGAAGCCAAGCUUGCUUGGUGGAUCAGUGGCGAACGGGUGAGUAACACGUGAGCAACCUGCCCUGGACUCUGGGAUAAGCGCUGGAAACGGCGUCUAAUACUGGAUAUGAGCCUUUUCCGCAUGGUGGGGGUUGGAAAGAUUUUUCGGUCUGGGAUGGGCUCGCGGCCUAUCAGCUUGUUGGUGAGGUAAUGGCUCACCAAGGCGUCGACGGGUAGCCGGCCUGAGAGGGUGACCGGCCACACUGGGACUGAGACACGGCCCAGACUCCUACGGGAGGCAGCAGUGGGGAAUAUUGCACAAUGGGCGGAAGCCUGAUGCAGCAACGCCGCGUGAGGGAUGACGGCCUUCGGGUUGUAAACCUCUUUUAGCAAGGAAGAAGCGAAAGUGACGGUACUUGCAGAAAAAGCGCCGGCUAACUACGUGCCAGCAGCCGCGGUAAUACGUAGGGCGCAAGCGUUAUCCGGAAUUAUUGGGCGUAAAGAGCUCGUAGGCGGUUUGUCGCGUCUGCUGUGAAAUCCCGAGGCUCAACCUCGGGCCUGCAGUGGGUACGGGCAGACUAGAGUGCGGUAGGGGAGAUUGGAAUUCCUGGUGUAGCGGUGGAAUGCGCAGAUAUCAGGAGGAACACCGAUGGCGAAGGCAGAUCUCUGGGCCGUAACUGACGCUGAGGAGCGAAAGGGUGGGGAGCAAACAGGCUUAGAUACCCUGGUAGUCCACCCCGUAAACG
RNAcentral lists this ribosomal RNA (771 nucleotides) under bacterium. Its description in RNAcentral is "bacterial SSU rRNA". It matches the Rfam family "Bacterial small subunit ribosomal RNA", at positions 24 to 808 of the family's 1533-position model. The record is from RNAcentral.